Suncus etruscus (white-toothed pygmy shrew) is the source of this 163-nucleotide small nuclear RNA. RefSeq annotates it as U1 spliceosomal RNA. NCBI's taxonomy places the organism in Eukaryota, Metazoa, Chordata, Mammalia, Eulipotyphla, Soricidae. The record is from RefSeq and is a predicted model, not a curated record. The transcript has a single exon.
UUACUUACCUGGCAGAGGAGAUACCAUAUCACGAAGAUGGUUUCCCCAGGGCAAGGCUUAUUCAUUGCACUCCGGAUGUGCUGACCCCUGCGAUUUCCCCAAAUGUGGGGAACUUGACUGCAUAAUUUGUGGCAGUGGGGAACUGCAUUUGUGCUCUCCCCUA